AUAUUGGGCGUAAGAGCUCGUAGGCGGUUUGUCGCGUCUGCCGUGAAAGUCCGGGGCUCAACUCCGGAUCUGCGGUGGGUACGGGCAGACUAGAGUGAUGUAGGGGAGACUGGAAUUCCUGGUGUAGCGGUGAAAUGCGCAGAUAUCAGGAGGAACACCGAUGGCGAAGGCAGGUCUCUGGGCAUUAACUGACGCUGAGGAGCGAAAGCAUGGGGAGCGAACAGGAUUAGAUACCCUGGUAGUCCAUGCCGUAAACGUUGGGCACUAGGUGUGGGGGACAUUCCACGUUUUCCGCGCCGUAGCUAACGCAUUAAGUGCCCCGCCUGGGGAGUACGGCCGCAAGGCUAAAACUCAAAGGAAUUGACGGGGGCCCGCACAAGCGGCGGAGCAUGCGGAUUAAUUCGAUGCAACGCGAAGAACCUUACCAAGGCUUGACAUGAACCGGUAACGCCUGGAGACAGGUGCCCCGCUUGCGGUCGGUUUACAGGUGGUGCAUGGUUGUCGUCAGCUCGUGUCGUGAGAUGUUGGGUUAAGUCCCGCAACGAGCGCAACCCUCGUUCUAUGUUGCCAGCACGUGAUGGUGGGGACUCAUAGGAGACUGCCGGGGUCAACUCGGAGGAAGGUGGGGACGACGUCAAAUCAUCAUGCCCCUUAUGUCUUGGGCUUCACGCAUGCUACAAUGGCCGGUACAAAGGGUUGCGAUACUGUGAGGUGGAGCUAAUCCCAAAAAGCCGGUCUCAGUUCGGAUUGGGGUCUGCAACUCGACCCCAUGAAGUCGGAGUCGCUAGUAAUCGCAGAUCAGCAACGCUGCGGUGAAUACGUUCCCGGGCCUUGUACACACCGCCCGUCAAGUCACGAAAGUUGGUAACACCCGAAGCCGGUGGCCUAACCCCUUGUGGGAGGGAGCUGUCGAAGUGGGACUGGCGAUUGGG
Molecule: ribosomal RNA, 932 nt
Filed under: Pseudarthrobacter sp.
Lineage: Bacteria; Bacillati; Actinomycetota; Actinomycetes; Micrococcales; Micrococcaceae
Description: bacterial SSU rRNA
Rfam family: Bacterial small subunit ribosomal RNA
Source: RNAcentral